Molecule: long non-coding RNA, 289 nt
Organism: Thalassophryne amazonica
Lineage: Eukaryota; Metazoa; Chordata; Actinopteri; Batrachoidiformes; Batrachoididae
Exons: 3
Source: RefSeq, a predicted model, not a curated record
ACUAUACCUUUCAGUGAUCCUCUUGUUUCAAUUCAAAAGACUUUAUCUCAUCUCAAAAUCGAUGCGGUAAUCGGUGUGACCGUCUUGUGGAAUGGAGAAGACUCCCUCAGGGUUGACCUGAAUGAAAAAUUCAAGAAUAACACUUGUGGCCUGUGUGGUGACUUCAACGGCCAAUCUGAUAUGACAGUCGAUGGACAGUCUGUAAAUCUUAAAGAAUAUGCACAAUCAUGGAAAAGGAGCGCUUCUACAGAAGAGUGUGAAGAAAAGACCAUUCAUCCAAAACCCUGCA